This 403-nucleotide ribosomal RNA is filed under the name uncultured bacterium. Its description in RNAcentral is "bacterial SSU rRNA". It matches the Rfam family "Bacterial small subunit ribosomal RNA", at positions 355 to 775 of the family's 1533-position model. The record is from RNAcentral.
UGGGGAAUAUUGCACAAUGGGGGAAACCCUGAUGCAGCAACGCCGCGUGAGUGAUGACGGUCUUCGGAUUGUAAAGCUCUGUUUUUAGGGACGAUAAUGACGGUACCUAAGGAGGAAGCCACGGCUAACUACGUGCCAGCAGCCGCGGUAAUACGUAGGUGGCAAGCGUUGUCCGGAUUUACUGGGCGUAAAGGGAGCGUAGGCGGAUCUUUUAGUGGGAUGUGAAAUACUCGGGCUCAACCUGAGGGCUGCAUUCCAAACUGGGGAUCUAGAGUACAGGAGGGGAGAGUGGAAUUCCUAGUGUAGCGGUGAAAUGCGUAGAGAUUAGGAAGAACACCAGUGGCGAAGGCGACUCUCUGGACUGUAACUGACGCUGAGGCUCGAAAGCGUGGGGAGCAAACAG